Molecule: long non-coding RNA, 3455 nt
Organism: Felis catus (domestic cat)
Lineage: Eukaryota; Metazoa; Chordata; Mammalia; Carnivora; Felidae
Exons: 8
Source: RefSeq, a predicted model, not a curated record
AAAGUGCUGACUCACCACACUGGUGUGGAUUUGAAGUCACGAGUUCGUUGUCAGCAUAUAACGCACCUGGCCAAAGGCUGGGGCUGCAGUGUUUUGUUGGGACCUCCAGGAAAACUGUGGACAGAAGGGAAGACCACCUAGGUGGGGGUGAAGAACGGAAUUAAGAAAGCAUGUGUGAUCUCGCAGAAGUCAGGGAAGGAGAAAAAAAAAUAAGCAAAGAGGAAGCAGGCUCACAGAUGGAGAGGAAUUGUGUCUCACGAUUCUCAGGAAUUGUGUCCAGACGUACAGGAUGUUUUCAUCACUCCGAAAAGAAACCCCGCACCUAUUAUCAGUCACUCUCCAGCCCCUGCCCUCAGCCCUAGCCUUUUAUAACCACGCUGGAAAACCGUCUGGCAGUGUCUGCUGAAGCUACUCACACCCAUACUUUAUGACGCAGCAACUGAACGCCCGGGUUGUAGAGAACUACAUUUCCCAGGCUCCCUCAUGCUGGAACCUACCUUGUGACUGCGAGUAAGUUGGAAAUUUACACGCCGAGGGCAGCUUUUAACUAAUGACUGACCGAGGUAUCAAUAUCCCAGCUCCCCUGUCCCUGAUGUGACCUCCUGUAGUACUGACCCAAAGUUACCCCCCUGGCACUUUGGUUGGUCUCACACCCUAGCCUGGCCCUCUUCCUAUUCCCAUUUCCUCACCCCCUGCCAGUAUCCACCCCAUCCCUGACCAUUCACAGGUAUUCUCAUCACAGGGGAAGACAGAGACAUGGCUCUGAUUCCUUUUUUUCUAACUUCCCCCAGUCUGAAUCCAUUUGGCACCUGGGCCCAUACUGUCAUUUGGGCCAUGUCUAAGAGCUUUAGGAUAAGUUCCUGAAGUUGAUCUUAGACUCCUUGUCUCCCCUGAGAUGCCCAGCAGGCCUAGGACACCCCUAGAAGCACCCCUUGUCAGAAGUGGAAGGCUGUGGGGGUCACUGAGACCAGAGGAGGAAAACAAGCCCCAGAAAAGCUAAGGGGGCAUGUUGACUAAAUGACACUCUCUUUUUCUUUUGACAGAGAUGUGUAGGGAGACAUUGUAUCCUCACGAUAGUCACUUCUUUGUUUAUUUGAGUUGUUGUUUUUGUCGUUAUUAUUACUCUUGCUUCUUGGUAUCCUGAGGGGCCCCAGGCCUUUGGGCACAUGCGGUUGGGAACUUUCCUGAAGCCAUUUCAGGCUGGGCAGGGAGGUGAGUGUAGGCAGCAAAGUAAAUGGAGAAUCACAGCAGGGUUUGAGGCAUGCGCGUGGAGUCCAGUGGGGGCCUGAGCAUUUAGCCCAGCCUUACUGGGGAAGGGGGCAGAGAGCGCUUCCAUGAUGAAGUGAAACCUGAGCUGAAUGUUGAAGUUAAACAGGGGUUUUCAAGGUAAAAAGAGGUAGUUCCCCCUCCCCCCAAUUCAAUAUACAACCAACACCGGAUAUAAAGAUGAUGCUUUUUUAUUUGGAAAGAGUUUUGCAUAGGGGUAUAAGAACAGAGUUUGGGGUCAAAUGGGAUUUAAAUCCUGGCACCAUCAUUUCCUCUGUGACCUUGAGCAAGUUCCUAACACUCUCUGAACCUCAAUAUCUUCAUCUGUGAAUUGGGAUAAUAAAUCCCACCUCACUGGCUGGUCAUCCAGUUCAAAGGAGAUGAACUGACUUGUAUUAAGCACUUGAAAAGUGAUAGCUAUGACGUUCCCCUAGUGAGCUUUGAACUUGUGUCAUCAUCAAGUGAAUGUUGACAGUUCUCUUACUGUGUUCAAGUGUUGAGUGAACUUAUCUUGUCCCAGGCACCCUCAUUUGAGAGGACAGAAGAUAUUAUUCCCUGGACUACAGACUCAGAGGGAAGAGGGGACCUGCCCGCUCUCACCUUGAGCUGGGUUCCCCAAGAAGCAGGAGCCAAGCAAGCAUGAGAGAGAGUUCAAGUACCUUACUUGGGAGGUGAUCCCAGGAAACACUGGCUAGGGAGCAGGAAGUGAGACAGAGAAGGGAAGUCAGCCCACUGCAGGAGGUGUUUUCAGUCUGUUACCGUGGAGGGCAGUGGGGCUCAGCUCUACAGGAAGCCCUGGGAGGCAGGGUAGAGUGCAUGUCUCAAGGUUUACCCCAGCCAGAGAGGAUUGCUGCAUCGUCAGCCACCAACUCCAGUCGUGGCUGAGAGCCCAUCCUGGGGCGUUUGGCGUGUCUAGCCGGUGCUACAGGCAGCACAGCGGACUCCAGUGGCCAGGAAACAGGACUUCCUUCUCCGGCUGGGGAGCGCAUGUGGCCUGUGUAUAGGACAAUCAAGAAGUGUCUGAGAGCCACAGAGCAGGAAAGACACCUCGACAGUUUCCUCACCCUCAGUUGAGGAAUUCAACAGGAGUUGGAAAGAGCUCAGCAAGACCAGCCAAAGACUCAAAGAACAUUUGGCUCAAGGAAAUUCCAGAAGAGAAAGAGCUGGUGAAAAGGGAGGCUGGAAUCCUGGCAGCUACCUCCCACCCAGAGCAGGGAGGGUGGUACAAGCUGCCAAGGGAAAGAUCCAGGCCAGGCUGGGAAGCUACCUUCAUACAUGGGUAAGGAUAAGAGAGGCAACGGGACUCCAUUCUCCAAUAAAGUGAAACAGAGAAGCAAUUGGCUUUGUUGGGAACCGGUUAAAGGGGACCCUGAAUGUGUGCUGAAGAAUUUGUUUGGUAGAAAACCUUCUGAUUGGGACAGAAAGGCCUUGGUUUUUUUAAUUGCAGUUCUUUAAUGAACAAGGUGGAUAAUUUUUUGUCUUUCAUGAAAUUAAAGAAAAUUGAAUUCUAUCAUACAUUCUGAAGAGUGGACAAAAGUGUACUGCUCCUUGAUGAAUUUUCACAAACUGAACUCACCCGUGUAACCAGUACUCAGAGAAACAGAAUAUGAUUAGCACCUCCAAACCCCCCCACCUUGUGCUCUCUUCCCAGUCACUACCUCCUCAAGGGUAACCACUACCCUGACUUUUUUUUUUAAGUUUAUUUAUUUACUUUGAGAGAGAGAAAGAGCAUGCAUGAGUUGGGGAGGGGCAGAGAGAGAGAGAGGGAGAGAGAGAAUACCAAGCAGGCUCCAUGCUGUCAGCACAGAGCCAAAUGCAAGGCUCAAUCCCAUGAAGCAUGAGAUCAUGAUCUGAGCCAAAAUCAAGAAUUGGACACUAAGCCAGCUGAGCCACCUAGGUGCCCCUAUCCUAACUUUUAAUAGUGUAGAUUAAUUUUGCUUGUUCUUGAAACUCAUAUGAAUGGAAUUAUUCAGUGCAUAUUCUUUUAUGUCUGUCAUUUCCCCCUCAACAUUGUGUAUGUGAGAUUUAUCCACAUUGUGUGCAACAACAGGCCAUUCUUUUUCAUUGCUGUACUGUAUUUCAUUUUAUGGUAUACCAUGGUUUAUUUGUUCAUUCUGCCUUUGAAGGAUGUGUGAUUCAUUUCCAGUUUUUAGCUACUAUGAAUAAAGCUGCUAUGGCAUUCUUGUGCA